This 889-nucleotide ribosomal RNA is filed under the name Pyrrhocoris apterus. Its description in RNAcentral is "partial 16S ribosomal RNA". The stretch from base 439 to 809 matches the Rfam family "Bacterial large subunit ribosomal RNA", at positions 2072 to 2648 of the family's 2925-position model. The record is from RNAcentral. Lineage: Eukaryota; Metazoa; Arthropoda; Insecta; Hemiptera; Pyrrhocoridae.
AUUAGCUUAAUUAACAUUAAUAUAAUAAUUUAAAAUUUUAAUUAAUUGUAGGUUUAGAAAUGACCAUCUUUUAUUUUAUUAUAAUUAAUUUUAUUUAAUUAUUUUAUUUUAUAUUAUUUAUUUAUGUAUAAGAUAAUAAAAUUUAAUAUAUUUUUUUUUGAUAUAAUGAUAAAAUUAGUAGAUAUUAAAUUUUAGCUUAGGAACUCGGCAAUUAUUAUUUUCGCCUGUUUAACAAAAACAUGUCUUAUAUGAUCAAUUAAUUUUAAGUCUGACCUGCUCAAUGAAUUUAUUUAAAUUGCUAUAGUAUUUUAACUAUACAAAGGUAGCAUAAUAAUUUGUCUUUUAAUUGAAGGCUAGUAUGAAUGGUUGGACGAAAAAUAAACUUUCUUAGUUAAAAUUAUAUUGAAUUUGAUUUUUAUGUAAAAAAGCUUAAAUUUUAUUGUGGGACGAGAAGACCCUAUAGAAAUUUAAUUAAUAUUUAAAUCCUUUACUAUAGUUUAUUUUAUAAUAUAUUAAUAUAUUAAUUUAUGUUGGGGUGACAGUAGAAAAUUGAUAACUUCUAUUUAUUAAAUUUUCAUAAAUUAGUGUAUUAUUGAUCCUUUUUUAUGGAUUAAAAGAUUAAUUUACCUUAGGGAUAACAGCGUUAUUACUCUGGAGAGUUCUUAUUGAUGGAGUAGUUUGCGACCUCGAUGUUGGAUUAAAGUUAGAUUUAUAGUGCAGGAGCUUAUUAUCUAGGUCUGUUCGACCUUUAAACCUUUACAUGAUCUGAGUUCAGACCGGCGUGAGCCAGGUUGGUUUCUAUCUACAAUUAUAUUUAUAGUAUUAUAGUACGAAAGGACCUAUUACUAUUAAAAUUUAAUUAAUUAUUGAUUAUUAUUAAAAAAAAAAA